UCCAGGUCCUAGCAUAUGCAUUCGGUCUGAGCCUAUGAUGUGGAAGGUUGGACAGAGAUGCUCCGGGAACUAGAUCGAUUGCGCGUUGGAUAUCACGCAUUGGAGACAGUGCAUCCGGAAGAUCAUCAGGGAGUGCAUCAUGAAACUCCUCUAGAAGAGAAACUACUACUGGGGAAUGUUCAAGGUUGGACUUCGCAUGGGUAUCUUUAGCUACAAGUGCCAAUUCAGGUGACUUGCUCUCAAUAUCUGUCACUACCUCUUCCACAGUAGUGAUGUGAAGUGGCUUGGUU
This 290-nucleotide long non-coding RNA is filed under the name Phoenix dactylifera (date palm). Its description in RNAcentral is "long non-coding RNA (PDAC_LNC006091)". Lineage: Eukaryota; Viridiplantae; Streptophyta; Magnoliopsida; Arecales; Arecaceae. The record is from RNAcentral.